This is a long non-coding RNA of Oncorhynchus nerka (sockeye salmon), 377 nucleotides long. RefSeq lists it as uncharacterized. The record is from RefSeq and is a predicted model, not a curated record. Lineage: Eukaryota; Metazoa; Chordata; Actinopteri; Salmoniformes; Salmonidae. The transcript is spliced from 2 exons.
GGAAGCUAGCUGUCCUCCGGCUACACAACGGUGCUACCCCAGACAGUGCUGUUGAAGUUACUGUAGACCUUCAUUGCAAAACGUAUUUGGUGACAUAUCAAUAUAUAUAAUAACUUUUUUAAUAUUUCUGUAGAAAAGGCCCAUGGAGUUGGUGGAAUACUCCUUUAAUUCAUUGCCAUUUACUCAGCUGGGCCAGGGGCGCUUUAAUUAGGUCAGGUGGAAAUGUCCGACAGAUCUCAACUCCAUAAAAGGAGGAAAUUGCCAUCGCCUGAUCUCGCUGCUUUCUCUUCCUUAACUCCAUCUCACCCAGAAGUUCUGUGCGUCCAUGAAUCCACCACAGACUACCCAGUAAAUAUACCACUUUAUGGUUAAAGGAA